UGCCCCGGGCAGUCCGUCCUCUCAGGUGUGCAGCAAAGAGCGGGGCUCUACAGAACAGCAAGCUCUUUCUUCAACCCUGUCUCUCCACAGCUUCAGUAACUGCUCUUUUUUCAAAAACAAAGUGUUAAAGGCUAAUUAAAGUGGUAAAGAGAACAAUUGAAGCCUGGUAGCCUCCUGUUGGGAUACAAGCCAUGCAGCGAGGACUGUCUGCAGUGAGUUGUCAGGAGGAUGGUGGCGUGCUUGGGUGCACACAAGAAAUCAAACAUUUCAUUGUAUCUUCAGUUAUUUGUGCUCCUUUGCAUGUUCUACAUGGCCACAGAUUUGAGAACACAUCUCACCAAAUGAAUCUUUUUCAAGUACUGAUAAAACACCGUGUAGUGUCAAUCCCUUUUGCAAAGAGAAAUUUCAUUCAACAUUUUUAAAGAAAAAUGCCAUUUGUUUGCCUGUCUCUGAAUAUAAGUGGACUUUAUCCCUUCCACUUUGUUUGUUCCCUAUUAAGUGACUGCACCUGCUCAGUAUGAUUUGGGUCUUUAUGUGGGUAUUAGACUUACUGGGAAUAUCUCAGAGUCAAUUAGAGAACUGAUACUACAAAGUUAGGCCAGAUGCAGUGAUGUGUGGAAUGGUAUCAGUUUGCUUCCAAAGAGAAAUUUGAGUUUCUGUGUCCCUUAACAGGUGUUGAGCAUGAUCUAGUUUUGUGCUGGUAUAAACAAAAAGACUGGCUGCUGUUAUUUGGUCAGUCUCUCACACUUCCCCAUACAGAGAGUGUUCACAAAGUGAAAACAUCCAGAUCAGUCUAAAGCAAUUCAGUUUACAGUGCUUCAAAAAUUAAUUUGUCUCCAUCCAGCUAGUUGCAAUAAGAAGAGGUAUUUGGACACAAAUUAAACCUUACUGCAUGUUAUCGUUGGGUUGGACGUGACAUACACACACGUGAUCAGGGUUCAAGAAUAAAAAAUUCUGCGUGUUUUCUAGCUUAUAUACUUUCAAAAAAGCAUGAUCUUAAGUCAUUAACUGCAUCACAAUAACUUAUUAUAUUUAUUGGUGUAAAGCAAUUAACGUUAAUAUAAUUGGCAAAAGUUUUACAGAAAUUUAAUAAGGUACGUAUACACAUCUACUUAUGCACGUAGCUUAGCAUACAAAAAUGUUCAUGUAUCUUUUCUAAUCUGUUUCUAUGCUGAUGGCCUUGUGUUUUUCUUUGCUAUGGAUACACUUGAAAAUCAUCAAUUGUUAUUUCUUCUAUUAACAAAGCUUUACCUGUAGGCCAGCUGUCAAGACCCUCCAUAACUGCAAUUCUACAGGUUCUCUUGGGGACUGCAUUUGUAUCAGUAAUGUCUCACAGAGAAUGAAUGCAAACAAGCAGUAGCACAGAAGGACUCACUCCAGCAGCAAAGUCAGACCUGUGUGGCCCAUCCUGCUGGUGGGAUAUGAAAGCUCAGAUGACAAACCCCCACUUCUAUUAGGUAACUCCUCCUCUGCCGCAGUCAAGGUGCUUUGCAAACAGUGAGAAAGUAAGUGGUAAAAUAUGUUUGUGAGUUGUGAUAACUCUUAACUGUGAAUUUUAGGACCUGGUCUGUUGCUAAAUUGGUAAUUGCUACUGAUGUCCAAGAGGAGAAAUUUCAGUGGGCUGAAUUUCGGAAUACAGAAGGGGGACCCAGUUGGCCCCAUAGCCAUGGCACAGCUCAAUCAGAAAUAUGUUCCAGUUGGGGUCAUCUGUGUUCUUUGACUUCUUGUAAUACCUUCAGUACUAUUUGGAAUGUUUAAUAAUGGAAUCUGACCUCAGCACAGGAGAGGUAAAUGCAAAAGCUACCUGUCUACUUCUCAGGGUAUUCAAGUGGAAUGUUUUUCACAAACAUAGUGAAAAAAAGGUUUAAAAUACCUGAAAUUUAACAGCAUUGAGUUCAAUAUAGACUCUCUAAACAGAGUGUAAGCAGAGUGAAAAAUCAGACUGUUCUUGGGAAAAUCAGAAUGUUCUUUGUAAACAUUCCCUACACGAAAUGGUCACUUAAUUUAAUGCAGUUUUGUAAAUUUGCUUGAAUUCAAUUUUAUAAUUUAAUGAUAGAUUUUCUAAAAAUUCAUUUCAAAUUUCCUAACAUUGAAAUGGGUAGUACAAAACUCAUCUUACAAUGUAAAUGAUCUUUAAUUUAUCAGAGGAUUUGUUUUUGUUUGUUUGUUUAGGUGGAUCUGAUUUCCUGUAUUUUUCAUUUUGUUCAGAGAACUAAAAUAUUUUCAUGUUGCUGUUCAUUUUACCAAAGCUCAUAUAUUCAAUAUACUCAAGUUGCUUAUACUAAACAUUUUGAUAUAUAACGAAUCUGUUUAAUUAGUCUGUGUAGACAGGAUAGAAGCUACAUUUCCAUGCCAAAUCCAUGAUUUUUACUGUGUUUGCAGUCUCAUCAAUCUAAACUGACAGCCUCAUGGUUUGUAAGAGUGGCAGCUGACUACUCGUUGUGCCUCUUUUAUCUGAUUUGUUCAUUAACUGCUUUGUUACCUGCAAGCCAGUCAUCAUCUCAAGUUUGAUUGGUCCCUUAACACUGCUGAAUAAUGUCAUAUUGGUCCAGAGUGCCAUGGAGUGGCAGCAUUUACAUAAAGUAGGUGAAUUAUAAAGAGGAGAGGUGGGAAGAUUUGUAAUUCCUUUGCAUUUGCAUUUAAUUUAAUGGAUUACUCUGUAAGAGCCAUGCACCACGAUGCUUGGAUUCCACUCAGGGCUCAUUUCAAAUGUCAAGUACUCCACAUUUGGGUGCUGUCUCUUCUAGCCUCUCAUCUUCUCUUUUGUCUACAGACUUGUGCAGCAAGUGAUGCCCUUCUUGAAGACAUCAUGUCUAAAAGCAAUAAGUAGAAUACCCCUACCCGCUGGUAUUUGAUAGGGAAUGAUUUAUGAUUUUUUUUUUUUUGGUAGGUUUGUCAUUGCUCUCUUUUUCAACACCGCUUGCUUGUCCAAAGAGAUUGCUUUUUGUCUUUACUUUUUUGGCUCAGAGAACCUUUCAUAAAUUCUUACUAUAUUUUUCAUUUGUCUAGACUUUUCUCCUCUUCCUCUUCUUUUUUCACAAAGCUUCUUCAGACACCCCACACAGUACCAGCUUCAAAAUCAAGAGGGAAUUCAUGGUGGAAACAUAUGCUCCUCUGUGAAAAUUACUUUAAAUCAGCAAUCCUAUUUCAGGCAAACUCUUCAGAUCACUUCCCCUAGUUUUCUGAGUCAUAAUCUAACAUUUUUCCCUAUACCGAUCAGUCUGUGCUGCCUAUUAAUGACAUCCAUUAUAGAGAGAAGAUGGCAAUGAACUAGCUAUUGAAUCCUUGUUUACCUGCAUUCCAUUUUGUAGGAGUAUUCGUGCAAUCUAUGAUGUCCAGAUUCCCCCUCUUUCCAAUGCAUAUGAACCGGAAGAAAGUGAGGAAAUGUUAGCUGUAAGUAAGGAAGGUGUUCCUUCAGUCAAUCCUUCUGUGACAUACUGCUGUCUUGUCUGGACCACUGGCUGUCAGUUCAAACCAGAGUGUCUGAAAAAAGUUCAAGAGUGGUUUCAUCCUUUGGCUGGGAUCAUUCCAUUGUAUUGGUAUCUGAAUGCCCCAAGUCUACCAGAAAUGGGUAUCCUGCUCUAGCAUACCACUACAAUUUAUGAUCUGCUAACACUCCUUCAGCCAGUGUUCCUUCCAUCUCGUGGAAGCAGUCAAGGUGAAUUGGCUGGUAGCUGACAAAUGUUCUUUCCUUGGCUUCCUUCUUAGUACUUUUAAGCUGUAUUGGUUUCAUCAAGAAAACAAAGCAUGAAUGUCUUCACACAAGUGUAAAAGUAGUCUUAAGGCAGGUACAUCAGCUCAUUUUUUUCAAGGAGUUUCCCAUCUGAUUUUAUUGAAGGUCUCUGUGUCCAAUCUUUCCUCAUUACCCUGCAGGGGUGUUCAUGCUGUUCUUAUCAUAAGGGGAAGAGAGGCUUCUGCACUUCAAUGCUGAUAAUCCACAUACCCAUUUCCUAGUAUCAAAAGGAUUUCCGUGUCUUAAUUUUUUGUGUCAUGUCUCUGUACAAUCUAGACCUCACAGUCUCAUCCCUCUUGCAUUCUCUACUUGACUUCUUUCAAUCAUAUUUUUUUUUAUAACGAUGUCCUGACCUGACUGAUGCUUUAAAGUUGCAGCUGACCUUUUAAUGUUAACUGAGUGAGUUACCAGGCAAGCAGUGACUCUACUUCAGCUGUGGUUAUGAUGCUGUUUUCAAACUUUCUUCAACUAAUGAGCUAUUAUAAGUAGUAAUAAACGUGUUUGUUGGGGCCACAUGUCCCUUGGAAACACUCAGCCCGUGCUAAUUACAGUGGGUCAGUAAAGAGGUCAAGGCUUAUAAGUGUGUGGGAGGGGACAUUGAACGGUGAUGCUGAGAGAUGUUGAAAAUAGUUGCAGGGAAUGUUAAUUACACAGCUGGUUCACAUGAACCAGCUUCUCCACCCAUUAAAAACAAAACUCAUUUUGAAGACACUUAUAAAACCUGUGCUUUAUGAAUCAAGAUCCCUUAUGUCUCAGUAACUGGUAAUAAUACCCAGAUAUAUGAAACUGCAAUGGAAUCAACAAAGAACUCAUCUGUGCAAGGUGGCUUUAGUCUCAAUUAAAGCUAGAAAUAAGAUUUUGCGUGGCUAUGCUGCCAUAUUAGAGCCAUUGCACAGCUUUGCUCUGUGGAUUUAAUUCAGAUUCUGCAGAUUUUGCUACUGACUUCCAUGACCUUUGGACCAAGUCUGCUGCUGGUUUGUUCUCAUUCCUGAAGAGCCCCAGCCUGUCUGACAGACAGACAGUGCACUUCCUCUGGGAACAGUGCAACUGUAAGGGCUGGUUCUGCAGUUGUCACAGUGUGAGUGACAGAGCAAAGCUAGUUACUUGUGGAUGUUUGCAUGGCUAUUCUCUUAAGUUCUAAUAAAAAGUGACAGUGAGGGGAAGGUAUACAAUAUAAAUAAGAUGAUGAGAGAGAGAUGUGCAAUUGACUAAUUCUUAUGUUAUAAUUGAACAGUAUAUAUGUAUCUAAGUUGUUCAUAUUGCUAAGAUAUUGCACUAUAUUUACUAUUCAAAGAAGCAUAGCAUUACAGGACAAAAGCUGUAUAUUUUCUGCUUGGUUUCUUAGCCAAACUCCAGAGCCAAAAAGCUUUUAAGGUGUAGAUAAAUCUGACAAAUACUUAACUUUGAACUUGUACUUGUGUGUGCUUCAUAGUCACAAAAGAGUGAAAUCCACUGUGGUAGUCAAUGCUCUGAGAAUGAUGUCUGUAGGAGAAAGAGUGUACUUGCCUGUUAGUAUGUCUGCAACACCGCAGGAAACAGGAAGAAAUUAAUAAAUAGAGAUGAAAUUUUCAUGCAGAUACUGGGAGAAAAAUGUCCUUUUGGUUAAAACAAGAAUCAGACAAUUUGAAAUACUGGAGUGAGUUAAAAAACAAAAAGGAACUUUUGAAAUAUAUAAUCCUUGCUGUCACCCAUGUUUACCCAGUUGAUAUUUUUUAUUUUGUGUUUUUCACUUAUUUUGAAGAUUUCAUAGCAAGUAGGUUUCCCAAGGUUUAAGAAGCAUUUGUUCACUGCCAAAAGUGGUAUAUGAAAUGGUAUUCUUCAGGGAAAUCGGUUUUUCCCUGAUAAAAUGCAAAUAAAACAUUUUAAAAAGCAUCAUAUACAGAAAAUGUGCUGAAGGAAGUUGAAGUAUAUGGAAUGUCUCCACAUAUCUUCUCUAAGGGUUUCUUCAGCGCUUUUUUGUUAGAAACCCCCUGUCAAUAGAUGAUGUCUGUCCAUUGUCACAUACUGAACAUCAUAUUACCUCCAAAGUUAGAAAUUGUUUGAUAGACCACGUUAAGAGUUAAGCCUGUGAGGAUUUAACUUCCGUGAAACUUGGGAGAUGAUUAAUUAUUUUUCUUCAGGGUAGCUAAACUGAUUUCUGCAAAGCUGACUUUUGUAAUUGAGGAGGAAUUCCAAGUCAGCUAAUGUGUCUCGAUGAUAUUGGAUGAAUGUUUAUGGAAAAUAUACUCAUUUGCUCAUAAAAAUAACAUUCUAGCAAAAUAUUGACAUGCUGUAACCUCUUUGAAUGUACAAGAUGUGAUAUGAGUAACACAGUGUGCUCAGUAACUGCGUAUUAAUUGCAAAAAUCAGUAAAUCUAUUUUUUAGACCCACAAACAGGAAAUCAGCUUCUUGUCAAGGUCCCUGUGAAGUGGGUGACACAAUUGAUGUGAGUUUCACCCUGAUGGAUAAUUAUGUGUGUCAUACAGGUGGAAGAUUUUAAAAGGGACUCCAUCAUCCUUCCACUUCAGCAUGUGCUGACCACCAGCAUGCAAGGAGAUUGUACAUAGAAAAAUACCCUUUGAUUUUAUUUUAUUUAGCUUGAGUUGGUUGUAUAUUUUUCACACUAUUGCAGCGUGUUUGCACAACCAAUAAGGACACCAGAGUUGACUAUUAUUGUUUAUUGAAUAAUUCAUAUCAAAUAAACACUUUUGGAAGUCUGACCACAGAAAGGAAAAGCAUUUCUUUGAGAGGAAAGAAAUCAGAAAUCCUCACUGCAAGGGAAGGAUCUCUUCUUGCUUUAUUAUUAAAUGCCUAAGGAGAAGACAUGAUUUCAAGUGGCAUGACUGAAGUGUGGGCACACCAGGGUGGGAGUUCUUGUGUGGGCUGUACACAGUCAGGGGGGUCACAAUGUGUGCUUGAGAUGUUCAGGGAUGCAUUAACAGUUUGCACUCUGUAACCUCUUAGGUGAAGAGGGUUUUCCUGUGCCAGUUUCAAGAAAGACUAUGAAGUCACUCAUUUAUUUUGCUCCAGUUGAAACUGUUCCUGUCUCUCUAUAGUGCUUACUGUCUAGACAGAUUGUAGUGUACAAGGACUCAGGUGUCCAGAAUGUUAUCAUUUAGAACUGAAAACCUGUUCUAUUUAAUUUUGAAACAAUUGGCAUAUGUUCUUUUUUCUUCCUCACUAUUUACUGAUUUCACUGAUGUGAGAGGAAACCAUAUAAUUAUUCUGCUUCAGUAGCAUCAGAACAGAAAUUUAAGAGCCUGUUUUAUUUUAUUUAGGAACACACAGUCAGAUUAUUCUGGGGUCUGGACUCCUAAGAAAAUGAGCACUCUUCCUAAAGUGGGGGAAUUGAAGAUUCUCAGUACUUGCCUGUUCCAUUCAGAUGGGUCCUUUAGUUCCUUUGCUUUAAGUGUGUGACAAAGCCAUUAACUUGGAUGGGAGCAUUAACACACUGAAAGGUAGGUGCAGAGGUCAGCAGCAGGAAGCCAGAAAGGAGUGAACUGGAUGUUUUGGUGAUCUGGCAAUUUAUUUCACCAAAUGAAAGUGCUACACAAUUAUUUUCUCAUUCCUCUGUUUCACUUUCCCAUGCUGAUCUCUUUCCUGGGUGCUGACGCUUUUCUUCUACCCUGUCUCUGCUAACAUCUAUUAAAUCAAGCAACAAGCUGCCUUUGUGACAAGUGAGUGACUCCUGAAAAUUGCAGGGACCUGUGUCAUCUGAGCUGUCAGAAUUCCAGUGCCUUUUUCCAGGAUGCUGGCGUUUCUCAUCAUAUACAUCUACCUCAUAAUUCCAGCCUCUUUUGCUAGGACGCUGGUGCUUGUACAUUGGAUAUCUUCUGCCUGGAUGUUCUGUUUUGGAUAACUCAUUCAUGUAAGUUAGCUGUGCCCUAGGACUGUAAGCAAACUGAUCCAACAGUGACUUUCUGCUGGAAGGCUUUUGCCUUUUCAACCCCAGAUAGACAUCAAGGUCAUCUUCCAUCUCCCUUUUUCCGGGAUGCUGCCUCUUCUGAAUGCCUCCAUAAGAUGUCUCUUCCUCAACAUCUCUUUUUCCAGGAUGCUGUCUCUUUUCCAGGUUACUUAGGUACUUUUCCCCAGGGUGUUGUCUUUUGGAAAGCCGUUGUAGCAGAGGGGCAUUUGAGUCUGUCCAAGGAAAAGAAUAAGGUUAAUAAAACACCAUAAUCCUCCCUAAGGAAGUUGUAAUGGGAAUUUGUGGAGCAGGAUCAUAAUCUGCUGCUUUUUGAAACCCAACUCAGUAUUUCCAGCUACCAGUCAUAACACAAUUGGUAUCUCUUACUCAUUCUUAGGCUCUUUUUAAUAUUUCAGUGCUUGGAUCAACACAACCAAUUCUCAGCAUUGAUGUGAAGAGGGAGAAUGGCUUUUCCUGUGGGUGCUUGUGGCCAGCUCGUCUUCCACUCUGGAAGGGCCCAGUGCUCCUGUUUGCUGGCAGGUACCUCUGUGCUGUUUCUUGCAAUCCCUGAGUCUGAUCUUCCCCUGCUGUGACUACUGGUAGCAGAGCAUCUACAAGGUGGGAGGUGCAGACACUGGAGCAUUCCCAUCUGUGGAAAAAGCCCGCCUCUGUUGGGGAGUAGAAACCAGUGGAUCAAGGCAGUAGGUGAAUGGCAGCACCCCCACCUCGAAUUUACAUUAGGUGUAGAGUCCACAGCUGCAGAAUGUGCUUCAUGGGACCUCUUAGAGCUUCCCUAGGGAAAUACCUGCUGAACAAGCAGGUUUUCUGUGACAGGCUUCUACCUUUUUAUUGUGCAGCAGCUGCUUAGUGAUAGUACAGCCUUAGUACAGCCUUUCCUGGGCAAAGAGAUCUUAGAGAAAAAAGCAUCUGUGAAGAACUGUCAGUGUAUUGCUGCAGCCCUCUUAUCCUUCUCUUCCCUUUAGUUCCAGUGAUAAGUAUGAACAUUAAGACCUGGAAAUCAUACAUUGGAUCUAAUGAUCUCAGUCAAGUACGAUGCCAUCACCAAAUGGGUGUACCCAGUGAGAUAUAUACCUUUAUUAAUCUCUUCAGCUUUCUUGAGGACAGACUGAAGAAUGAGGCUUUCAGAUCUCUGAAGGAUGUGAUCCAGGGGACUUUUUCCCAUGUUCUCACUCUCCUCUGGAAGGAGAUGUCCCCCAUUGAAGCAAACACCACACGAGGUCAAGCAGAGGAGUAGCAGUGGCAGCUGGAUGGAUGUCAUUGUGGGUUCCUGCAACUUCCAUUGGACAGAGAACAACAGGGGAGGACGAUGGAGCAAGCAAACCUAGCAAUAACAGCAAUAUUUCCAGACACUGAAAAACAAAUAUGGCACUGCUGCAGGGACUGAAGUCUCAGGGUCUUUCCUCAUUUCUGUUACUAACCUCUCAGUUUGUUUUUUAUCCUUCAAAACAUCUAAAUUCUUCAUAAUCAAAACCAGGUAGUUGUUAAUUUUUCUGGCUCAAUAAAUAUGAUAUUAACUUCCUGAGACACGGGUGAUUCUGAAAAACAGUGAUUUUACUCUGCCUUCUGACAAGAGGCAAACAUAAUUUCUCCCUUGAACUCUGUAUGCACAAGGUAUAGACAUCUAUAUCUGCUGCCUUCAUCAGGCAAUUCCCUUUGCUAAGAGUUAAUUUUAAAAUUAUACUGAGAUUAGCAGCACUUCCAUUCCACCUUUAAUUAAAGCCAAACCUAAAUGAUCCACUAGUUUUUUGCUAUCUUUUUCUAUACAUUCAAAGUAGCUGUGUGCCUGGGUAUUCAUCAGGCUAAGAAGACAGCUAUGCUCUGUGUGGCAGGGAGAUUUCUUGCAUGGAAAGAAAUGAGGGAAGUAUCUUAUAUUUUUUUCGGAGACGUAAUAAUAAUGGUAUCCUCUAUUACCUCUUGCCCAGAUACCAAGUGUUUUCCUAUUUCUUCUAGCUAGCACUGAAUUCCUAACAUGCUUAGGGAUUUAUUUUACAGUAAGCAGAGUUCCUUCAGUAGAAUGGAAUAUAUCUUUAAUACUAGUAUAGCAGUCAUUUAUAUUUAUAUCUUCAGAAUGUAAAAGAAAUGCCCAAUUUUAUGAAGUCCUACAAAUUUCCCAAAUAGAGAAUGAGUUCAUUACCUUUUUUAUUAGCAGGUCUUUGUCAGUUCUGAUAAAAUCCUUGAGUAACAGUCCUAAGAACAUCACAUAGGCAAUUUGACUCAGAGCAAUCUUUAGACAGAAAGGUAAAAUCUGCUAAAAAGGAAAUUAUUUGAUAAAUUACCUGAUUUGUAGUUUCAGAUUUUUGCUUGAUGCAUCUGCCAAGUCCUUUAAAGCUGUUUGUGCACCUGAGCUUCAGUUGCCCUUUUGCUGCUGCAGGCACACAGAGUGUCCAACAGAAGCGUUGCUGUGUGCUCUCUGCACGGCUCACGUCUCUGUACUUAUAGCGUACUGCCUCUGGACCCUUUAUGCAAACAGCUCUGAGGUCUGAGCCCCUACCAUGGUACUUCUUGUGUUGUCUAGAGCAAGAGUCUGUACUGGUAAACACUUGUUUGUGAUGUGAGCUCUGAGGCCGUUUUGGGGGUGAGCUUCAGUUAGAGCCAGGUGAAGGAUUUGGCCUGGAGAAUUUGGUGAAAUUAUCAGAAGCUCUGCUGGCUGAUGUUGAAUGGCACUUGAAGCACGACCUGAACAUGCUACUGAUUUUAAGAGUCCUGUAGCACAGCAACAGUGAAGAUCAGAAUCCUGUUGUCGUAAGUACUAUGGUGAAGUAAAAUCUGAAACUGUCUUCCCAAGAGAGUUAAAAUGAAACCUAGAUGUAUAUGCAUACACGUCCAUGUGCACCUACACCUAUCAUACAUCUACACAUGCUUCUGGAGGUGUAUGAAAUGAUGAAGUGAGAGGGUGGAGUAAUCAUUUCAGUUGUGUUGGCCAUAAAUAUGAUAUUUCAAGAGUUUGGGUAGCUGUAAGUCAGCAUAAAGCUAAUCAGGACCAGGUUGAAGUUGAUUUGUAAGCUUUGCUGCAGUGUUGCAAAAGGAUGUGAAAGAAAGAAGACAGAAAUUUUAUCCUGGCAUGGAUUUUCUCCCUUGUGUAAGAGAAGGCUUAUAAGAAAGCUAGUCGCUUGCCAUUACCAGGAUAAAGACGUACAUUCAAGUUUUGCUGUCUGAUUCCAGCACAGGCCAUUUAUAGGAACGUCUUAGCAAAUAUUAAUGACACAGUUUACUGUUUCUGGUAUUGUCCAUUAGUCUCACUGUGUCUGCAGGGCACAUGGCUACAGGAAUUUUUAUUCCUGUCACUUGGAACCAUUACCAAUAAUACCAGUGAACUGGAACCUCUUACUUAGAAUCCAAGCCUUCACUGUAGCAAAUAUAUGGAUUUGUGGCACCAGAGGUGUGCUGGAAGUCAACUGGGAAGUGCUACUGCCCGUACUUGACUAAACACAGAAGCCACCAGAGAUCUGAUAUGCUACCACGAGUCCUUGUGUAGAGCACAGUAGGUUGGGAGUCCUUUCUUUGGUGUAUUGUGUGAAUUAACUGAUUAAUAUGAAGGAAGUUUAUGGAGUACUCAGUAUAGAACUGCUCCCUUGCCCAUUGUGCACAGUCAUUUAGAUGGAGCUUGGUGUGCAGCUGCGAGACUUGGAGGGGGAGGAAGGUCUCCACAACCAGUUGCUGAAGACAAUUUUCAUAUUGUACUAUGAGCUACAUAACAACAAUGACCUUUAUCUAAUUUGCACCUUUAUAACUUGCAUAGUCAUUGUAAUAACAACAGACUCUUCAACGGGUGCUUAAUGGGUUUGUUUACGAGCAAAGAGAAUAAAGUGAGAAUCAAUAGGUAUUCAGAUGCCAUUUUGGGGGCAGGAAUUGUAAUUAUUGAACAAACACUGGACAUUGUUCUUUAUGGGGCAAUAAAGGCACACAUGGGGUCAGUGAGGUAUCUGCUGAGACCAGGAGUAGUAUUGAUUUUUAGAAAUGACUUCUGUGAUCUUCUCGUGGAUUUCUCUUCACAUCAGUCCAGCUGGCAGAUUCUGUGCAUCCCAGGGGAGGCUGAGUGAAUGAACACGUAGCACUGGAGUAAAAGUUCCUUGAAUCAUUUAACACCUGCUUCUGCUGAGAAGACUGUGAGACACAAAGUCUAUAUGCCUCUCAGGUUUUGGGUCAUUCUCUUCCCCUGGGUGUUUUCAGCUAAGCCAGAACAUGAACAAAGAUACAUUUAAAAGUAACUGGAGAAUGGUUUGCUGAUGCAAACUACAGCAUGUGUGUUGUAUUUUCAUAAGCACCAAGCUGGGAGACCACAACGUUAUUUGGUUAGAAUGGAAUCUGAGAACUAGCUGAUUUUGUUUCUGUCUCUUACAUUGAAUUGCUCUGUGAUUGUCAGUCACUCAUUGAGGCAAAAAUCCAACUGUAGGUAAAAUCAGAGUCCGACUUUUCAUAGGUGGUAACUGGAAUUAAGUAAGCGCUUAAAUAUCUUGAGUUUUGUGUUCCCUGUCCAUAGUGAUAUGAUAGAGAGAGUUUUGAAGCUUGUGAUAUGCUUUAAAAGUCACAAAUGACAAGAGAAGUAAAAAUUGUUAUUUAUAGUUUUUUGGGGUUUUUCCUAGGGAGCAAGUAGACUUCACCAAGCCCAGUGGGCAUGGCAUGCAAAUUUCAGUAAAGAAAAUGGUGAAGAGAAAACUCAUGUUUAAUUGGACUCUAGUGAAGCUUUGGUGUGGUCAGUUGUGACAAAAACGACAAUUGUAUGUCAUACAUAUAUUAAAUAUCAGCAAUUUCACAGGAUUCUUUCUACAAACUGCUGAUGCCUCUAAUAAACAGUUUUCUCCUCCAGAUUUCUUUCUUUCCUUGUGGAAGCUGCUAUCAGAUUCAAAAUGUUCUAUGUUGACACCUAAAUGGUGUGAUAGAAUCCUAGAAUGCACUCCUGGAAUGGCUGGUGAUAGUCUUCCUUGAAUGUGGUACAAGAGAAUACAGGAAUUACUUCUAAAGGAUGAAAAAAGAACAUUAAUAAAAGCAAUCCUUUUGUUAAAUUUCCUCUGUGAUGAUCUAUAGGUACCCUAGCAAAUGCUUACACAUCUAGAAAAUAUAACAAAAGUAAAGCAACUAGAAAAAGUAAAAAAAAAUACCUCUUGGAAGUUGCUUUCAGUCCUGCAUUUCCAUGAGUAAUUCAGAGACCAUCAUGGAAAAUACAAAGUUAAAUCUUUCAUAACAUUGUAUUUUAUAGCUUUUAUUCAAAAAUAUGACCCAGUAUUUUGACAUUUGAAAUAGCUUAUCAAGACAAAGAAGCUGACAGACAGUUUUUAAAAUACUUUCUGGAUGAUCCCAACAAUAAUCUGUGAUUAAUUUUGAGCUUCUGCUGUUCAUGUUGAGAAAAUGAAACUUAGGUUUUAUUGCUUGGGCAAAUUAUUAAAAUGCCACGGAUUGCCUGAUAAGUAGGUAAUGCCUUUGAUCACUAGCUGUACUUACAAACAUAUUACCACUGUCAUUUGGAUAACAAAUUAUCCCUAAGACAACACCAGGGUAAUAAAAUUGACCUUUUACAACUACUUGUGCUUUUAUUGAUUAUUAGUUCUACACUAACAGAACUAACAGAACUUAUUUU
Molecule: long non-coding RNA, 13213 nt
Organism: Passer domesticus (house sparrow)
Lineage: Eukaryota; Metazoa; Chordata; Aves; Passeriformes; Passeridae
Exons: 4
Source: RefSeq, a predicted model, not a curated record